GCCGGGGUUUCCUCACAGCCUGUCAGCCUUGCUGAUCGACUUAUUGUCCAAUGAUGUGACCCAGUCCUGCAGUUCUGGGAGAUCAACCACCAUCCGCGUCAGGUGCAGUCCACAGAAAACUGUCCCUGGAAGUUUGCUGCUGCCAGGACGUGCUCGGAUGGGACCUGUGAUGGCUGCAACUUCCACUUCCUGUGGGAGAGCGCGGCUGCUUGCCCGCUCUGCUCAGUGGCUGACUACCAUGCUAUCGUCAGCAGCUGUGUGGCUGGGAUCCAGAGACUACUUACGUGUGGCGAGAACCC
Molecule: long non-coding RNA, 299 nt
Filed under: Homo sapiens (human)
Lineage: Eukaryota; Metazoa; Chordata; Mammalia; Primates; Hominidae
Description: HSALNT0012188
Source: RNAcentral